GAUGAACGCUGGCGGCGUGCCUAAUACAUGCAAGUCGAGCGAACAGACGAGGAGCUUGCUCCUCUGACGUUAGCGGCGGACGGGUGAGUAACACGUGGAUAACCUACCUAUAAGACUGGGAUAACUUCGGGAAACCGGAGCUAAUACCGGAUAAUAUAUUGAACCGCAUGGUUCAAUAGUGAAAGACGGUUUUGCUGUCACUUAUAGAUGGAUCCGCGCCGCAUUAGCUAGUUGGUAAGGUAACGGCUUACCAAGGCAACGAUGCGUAGCCGACCUGAGAGGGUGAUCGGCCACACUGGAACUGAGACACGGUCCAGACUCCGACGGGAGGCAGCAGUAGGGAAUCUUCCGCAAUGGGCGAAAGCCUGACGGAGCAACGCCGCGUGAGUGAGGAAGGUCUGCGGAUCGUAAAACUCUGUUAUUAGGGAAGAACAAAUGUGUAAGUAACUAUGCACGUCUUGACGGUACCUAAUCAGAAAGCCACGGCUAACUACGU
RNAcentral lists this ribosomal RNA (496 nucleotides) under uncultured bacterium. RNAcentral describes it as "partial 16S ribosomal RNA". It matches the Rfam family "Bacterial small subunit ribosomal RNA", at positions 28 to 506 of the family's 1533-position model. The record is from RNAcentral.